GCACCACUGCACUCCAGCCUGGCUAGCAGAGUGAGACUCUUUCUCUAAAAAAAAAUGUAUCUUGCUCCUCCGCCGCCCAAGAUGCCGAAAGGAAAGAAGGCCAAGGGCAAGAAGGUGGCUCUGGCCCCUGCUGUCGUGAAAAAGCAGGAGGCCAAGAAAGUGGUGAAUCCCCUGUUUGAGAAAAGGCCUAAGAAUUUUGGCAUUGGACAGGACAUCCAGCCCAAAAGAGACCUCACCCGCUUUGUGAAAUGGCCCCGCUCUAUCAGGUUGCAGCGGCAGAGAGCCAUCCUCUAUAAGCGACUGGAAGUGCCUCCUGCAAUUAACCAGUUCACCCAGGCCCUGGACCGCCAGACAGCUACUCAGCUGCUUAAGCUGGCCCACAAGUACAGACCAGAGAUAAAGCAAGAGAAGAAGCAGAGGCUGUUGGCCCGGGCCGAGAAGAAAGCUGCUGGCAAAGGGGAUGUCCCCACUAAGAGACCACCUGUCUUUCGAGCAGGAGUUAACACCGUCACCACCUUGGUGGAGAACAAGAAGGCUCAGCUGGCGGUGAUUGCACACGACGUGGAUCCCAUCGAGCUGGUUGUCUUCUUGCCUGCCCUGUGUCGUAAAAUGGGGGUCCCUUACUGCAUUAUCAAGGGGAAGGCAAGACUGGGACGUCUAGUCCACAGGAAGACCUGGACCACUGUCGCCUUUACACAAGUGAACUCGGAAGACAAAGGCGCUUUGGCUAAGCUGGUAGAAGUUAUCAGGACCAAUUACAACGACAGAUACGAUGAUAUCCAUCGUCACUGGGGCGGCAAUGUCUUGGGUCCCAAGUCUGUGGCUUGUAUCGCCAAGCUCAAAAAGGCAAAAGCUAAAGAAGUUGCCACUAAACUGGGUUAAAUGUACACUGUUGAGUUUUCUGUGCAUAAAAAUAAUUA
Non-coding RNA from Macaca mulatta (Rhesus monkey), 920 nucleotides. The record is from RefSeq and is a predicted model, not a curated record. Lineage: Eukaryota; Metazoa; Chordata; Mammalia; Primates; Cercopithecidae.